GAUGAACGCUAGCGGCAGGCUUAACACAUGCAAGUCGAGGGGUAGAAGGAGCUUGCUCCUUUGAGACCGGCGCACGGGUGCGUAACGCGUAUGCAAUCUACCUUUUGCAGAGGAUAGCCCAGAGAAAUUUGGAUUAAUACCUCAUAGUAUAGCAGUUUCGCAUGAAACCACUAUUAAAGUCACAACGGUGAAAGAUGAGCAUGCGUCCCAUUAGCUAGUUGGUAAGGUAACGGCUUACCAAGGCAACGAUGGGUAGGGGUCCUGAGAGGGAGAUCCCCCCACACUGGUACUGAGACACGGACCAGACUCCUACGGGAGGCAGCAGUGAGGAAUAUUGGACAAUGGGCGCAAGCCUGAUCCAGCCAUGCCGCGUGCAGGAUGACGGUCCUAUGGAUUGUAAACUGCUUUUGUACAGGAAGAAACCCUUUCACGUGUGGAAGAUUGACGGUACUGUAAGAAUAAGGAUCGGCUAACUCCGUGCCAG
RNAcentral lists this ribosomal RNA (484 nucleotides) under uncultured bacterium. Its description in RNAcentral is "bacterial SSU rRNA". It matches the Rfam family "Bacterial small subunit ribosomal RNA", at positions 28 to 511 of the family's 1533-position model. The record is from RNAcentral.